UUAUUUGAGAGUUUGAUCCUGGCUCAGGAUGAACGCUGGCGGUGUGCCUUAGGCAUGCAAGUCGAACGGUAAUUUCAACUUCGGUUGAGAACGAGUGGCAGACGGGUGAGUAACACGUGAGAAUCUACCUUGUAGUGGGGGAUAGCUCGCCGAAAGGCGGGGUAAUACCGCAUGUGAUCGCAAGAUCAAAGUCGUAAGACGCUAUAAGAGGAGCUCGCGCGCUAUCAGUUUGUUGGUGGGGUAAUGGCCUACCAAGACUAUGACGGCUAGCCGGUGUGAGAGCACGACCGGCCACAAGGCUACUGAGACACGGAGCCUACACCUACGGGUGGCAGCAACCGGGAAUAUUGCGCAAUGGGCGAAAGCCUGACGCAGCGACACCGCGUGUGGGAUGACGCUCUUCGGAGUGUAAACCACUGUGGCGAGGGAAUAAUUAAUGAAGGUACCUCGCUAGAAAGCACCAGCUAACUACGUGCCAGAAGCUUCGGUAAUACGUAGGGUGCGAGCGUUAUCCGGAUUUACUGGGCGUAAAGGGUCCGUCGGCGUCUGUGCAAGUUUUUUGUUUAAGCCUGGGGCUCAACUUCAGAAAAGCAAAAAAUACUGUACGGAUAGAGUUUGUUCGAGGAAGUUGGAAUUCUUGGUGGAGGGGUGAAAUCCGUAGAUAUCAAGAGGAACACCGCGCGCGAAGGCAGGCUUCUAGAACAAUACUGACGCUCAUGGACGAAAGCUUGGGUAGCAAAGCGGAUUAGAGACCCGUGUAGUCCAAGCUGUAAACGUUGUCCGCUAGUUGUUUCCCUCGCACUGGACUCGUACUCCGAGUCUGGUGUGAGGGAAGUGACGUAAGCUAACGCGUUAAGCGGACCGCCUGGGGAGUACGACCGCAAGGUUAAAACUCAAAGGAAUUGACGGGGGAGCGCACAACCGGUGGAGCAUGUGGUUUAAUUCGAUACAAAGCGAAAAACCUUACCUGGGUUUGACAUGUACCUGCACGGUCUAGGAAACUAGAUCUUCUUCGAGAGUGGUACACAGGUGAUGCAUGGCUGUCGUCAGCUCGUGUCGUGAGACGUCCACUUAAGUGUGGUAACG
RNAcentral lists this ribosomal RNA (1086 nucleotides) under Candidatus Woesebacteria bacterium. RNAcentral's name for it is "bacterial SSU rRNA". It matches the Rfam family "Bacterial small subunit ribosomal RNA", at positions 1 to 1094 of the family's 1533-position model. Lineage: Bacteria; Candidatus Woeseibacteriota. The record is from RNAcentral.